This 255-nucleotide ribosomal RNA is filed under the name uncultured bacterium. RNAcentral describes it as "partial 16S ribosomal RNA". It matches the Rfam family "Bacterial small subunit ribosomal RNA", at positions 99 to 354 of the family's 1533-position model. The record is from RNAcentral.
CGGACGGGUGAGUAACGCGUGGGUAACCUGCCUUGCACUGGGGGAUAACACUUAGAAAUAGGUGCUAAUACCGCAUAAGCGCACGGUCCUGCAUGGGACAGUGUGAAAAACUCCGGUGGUGCAAGAUGGACCCGCGUCUGAUUAGCUGGUUGGCGGGGUAAAGGCCCACCAAGGCGACGAUCAGUAGCCGGCCUGAGAGGGUGGACGGCCACAUUGGGACUGAGACACGGCCCAGACUCCUACGGAAGGCAGCAG